RNAcentral lists this ribosomal RNA (236 nucleotides) under uncultured bacterium. Its description in RNAcentral is "partial 16S ribosomal RNA". It matches the Rfam family "Bacterial small subunit ribosomal RNA", at positions 100 to 334 of the family's 1533-position model. The record is from RNAcentral.
CGGGACGGGUGAGUAACGCGUGGGUAACCUGCCUCACACAGGGGGAUAACAGUUGGAAACGACUGCUAAUACCGCAUAAGCGCACAGCUUCGCAUGAAGCAGUGUGAAAAACUCCGGUGGUACAAGAUGGACCCGCGUCUGAUUAGCUGGUUGGUGAGGUAACGGCCCACCAAGGCGACGAUCAGUAGCCGGCCUGAGAGGGUGAACGGCCACAUUGGGACUGAGACACGGCCCAA